AGAGCACAUUGUCAAGAUACAUGAUAUGUUUGUUAUACUUUGUCCAAAGCAAUGUUAAACUAAUUUUAACAUGAAACUACCCCUCCACCCUUAAUCAUGUUGAACUUAUCUGCCUGCUAAGGGAUCAAAAGUCAUAUUUAUCCAUCCAUUGUGUUUGUCCAAAAAGGGGGGAAAAUCCUCGUUGUAUGUUGGCAAGACCCUUCCUGAUAUUAAUUUGGAUGGUAAUAUGUGAUUCAAAUCAGAGGAUUUGAUCAAUAAAUUAACUGAAAAGGC
RNAcentral lists this long non-coding RNA (273 nucleotides) under Elaeis guineensis (African oil palm). RNAcentral describes it as "long non-coding RNA (EGUI_LNC030555)". Lineage: Eukaryota; Viridiplantae; Streptophyta; Magnoliopsida; Arecales; Arecaceae. The record is from RNAcentral.